Molecule: long non-coding RNA, 520 nt
Organism: Anthonomus grandis grandis
Lineage: Eukaryota; Metazoa; Arthropoda; Insecta; Coleoptera; Curculionidae
Exons: 3
Source: RefSeq, a predicted model, not a curated record
AUUUUGACAUUUGUCACACUAACAUACAAAAUUUGCAGUUUUAACGGUUUUUGGAAAAAAUACUAAUUUUUUACAAUUCAAAAUUGAUAAAAUGGUAGAACUAAUGGGCGACACCCCGAAUAUUUAUAUUCCAUCAUAUUCUCAGGGCAAUGAAAGUAUGUUACGCAAGAAUGUUGCGAAAUAUUCAGGAAAUAUGUUGCAUUGGCUGUUACAUAUCUCCUUAUUGAUAAUAUCCAUUUGCAUAAAUAUUCUUUGUAAUCCAAUUGUCUGGUUCCUGGUUAAAACUACCUUUAAUGUUUUAACUGAAGUAUUUAUUUACCUUGUGUUAGGUGUAUGCUCAUUUAUCAUCAGCAUGAUUACUUAUUUGGACGAUUAUUACUGCAAAAGAAACGUUAAAGGCUGCAAAGAUGUCAGCAGGGAACGAGUGACGAUACAAAAUUGCACAGUAAAGAGAUUUGUGGAGUCGCCAAAAAACUUUUAAAUUUUUCUUUAUGUAAUGUAAAAUAUAUAUAAAAUUGAA